Long non-coding RNA from Equus caballus (horse), 2235 nucleotides. RefSeq lists it as uncharacterized. NCBI's taxonomy places the organism in Eukaryota, Metazoa, Chordata, Mammalia, Perissodactyla, Equidae. The record is from RefSeq and is a predicted model, not a curated record.
CAGGCGAGGGACCGGAAGCUGAAAAAGGCGAGGGACCGGAUUCGCGUCUGGAGCCUCCAGAAGGAGCCAGCCCUGCUGAAACUUUGACUUCAGUCCAGAGACAUGGAUUUGGGACUUCUGGCCUCCAGAACCAGGCUUGCCCUGGGUCAAGGCUGUGGAUGGGCCUCCGAGGCCCCAGUGUGCCCACCGCAUCCUGACAUCAGUUACUUCCACGGUGCUAGAGCCUCCCCAGUGUGGCGACUCCAUCUGCAUUGAGUUUCCUCAACGUGGCGGCUUCUGUGGCUCAGCGAUGCCCAGGGAGUCCCGAAGACCCCAGAGAAGAAAGGCUGCCUGGGUCAUCUGGGGACCGGGAAUCCCUGGGACUCACGUGUGGCUGGGAAGGAGACAGAAGGUGCUGGACACAGAGGGGCCAUGCCAAUAGGACCGCGGCCUCUCACUGUCACCUGCGGGAACACAGCCCUCCCUCCCCGCAUACCUUCCCACCUCUGAACACUCAGACUCUUUCCAAGCCCCCAGACUCAGAGAGGCGACAGGAUGGCAUGAAACGCCAGGGAUCAAUGGGGGGACCAACCUUAACAAGAAAUGGGCAAGACCUUUGUUUAAAAAAACAACAUUCAGGUCCUACAGGGGGACCCAAAAGAAGACUUUAUCACUUUAUCACAUGCAAAGCCACCCCUUGGCUUAGAGGGGAAGACCUGGUAUCCCACACAUGUAAUUAUUCUCCAAGUUAAUCCAUGAAUUUAAUGAAUUACCAAUAAAAAAAUACCAACAGGACUUUUCCCCCCAGGAACUAGAUAAGCUCAAUCAAAUGUUCACAUGGAAAAAUAAACAAGCAAACACAUGCCGGAGAAUGCUGAAAAUGAGGAGUAAUGAGAGUGGUGGAAUUGAUUUCAUCCGAUAUUAAAACGUAUCAUAAAGCUACAGCAAUUACAGCAAUGACACACAUGCAGUGUAUGAAUAAAUAAAGAGACCAAUGGAGCAAAAAUAGGAAGUCUAUAAUAGAAACAAAUUCAUGCCAAAGUUUAGUAAACAAUAAAAGUGGAACCUCACAUCAGUGGGGCAGAAUAAAUUAUUCAUUAAAUGAUAUAGGAUUAACUGAGUAAAGAAAUAGUUUGGGGUCUAUAACUUACACUUUGUACUAGGAUUAAUUCCAAAUGGAUCAAGUAUUUAAAUGUAAAAAAGGAACCAUAAGAAUAUUAGGAGAACACACAAGGAGAAUUCUUUUAUCAUUUUAAAGUUGGGAAGGCCUUUUAAGUAGGACACUUAACCAGGAAACCAGAAAAGAAAAGAUUGAUACUUUUAGAUACAUAAGUAUCAAAAAUGUCUUUAUGGGAAAAGCAUCAGAAACAAGUCAAAAGGCAAAUAACCUGACAAAAAUUCUUGAAACUCAUGCUAUUUCUCAAAUGCUAGUUUCUCUAAUAGGUAAAGAUCUCCUGCAAAUUAAUAAGAAAAAGACCAACAGCCCGGUAGAAAGUCAGGAAAGGAUAUGAACAGACAGUUCACAGGAAAGAAAAUACAAACAGCUCUUAAACAUAUGAAAAAUGCUCAAGUUCAUUCACAAUAAGAAAAUCUCAAAUUAAAGUAAGAUACAAUUUUCCUUCUUCAUAAUGGCAAAAACAAGUUUGAUAAGGCCCUGAUUUGUCAAGGAGUGAAGAAACAGACCAUCUUGUACCUUGAGUGUUAAUUUCCAUGGCAGGAAACUUAGAGACAUCUUCACCCCCUGGGAGCCAGCAGGUCCGUGGCUGGAAAUUUGUACAGAUGCACGCUCGUGUGAACAAGGCAACGGGAGUGCAGGUUGUUCAUUGCAGCACUGUUUGCAUAGCUAAAGAAUGAAAAUAAGUGAAAUACCAUCAAGACCAAUAAUGGUACCUCCCUAUGGAAUACCAUGCAGUUGGAAAAAACAAUUAGGAAGCUCUUUAUGUAUUGCUAUGGAAAUUUCUCCAAGAUAUUUUCAGUGGGCAAAAAGUGUAUAACAUACACACAAGGCGUGUAAUAUACUACUAUUUGGGUCAAAAUAGGAAGAAAGGCACACAUAGCCAUGUGUAUGGAAUCUGUCUGAAAGGAUACACAAGAAGUUGAUACCUUCGGCUCCCUCUGGGAGAGGGUUGGGGUCCAGAAGCAGGGGAGAGAUUUGCUGUUCUCUGCACAAACUUCUGUACCUGUCCAUGUACCUACUUCUUCAGAAAAAAAUGGAUUUUUAAAAAUAAGGAAUGAAUAAUAUGGAGAUUCAGUGAA